RNAcentral lists this transfer RNA (72 nucleotides) under Ovis aries (sheep). It matches the Rfam family "tRNA". Rfam says of the family: Transfer RNA (tRNA) molecules are approximately 80 nucleotides in length. Their secondary structure includes four short double-helical elements and three loops (D, anti-codon, and T loops). Lineage: Eukaryota; Metazoa; Chordata; Mammalia; Artiodactyla; Bovidae. The record is from Rfam by way of RNAcentral.
UCCCUUUUGGCUCAGCUGGUAAAGCACCCGCCUGCAGUGCAGGAGACCUGGGUUUGAUUCCUAAGUUGGGAA